ACGUCCCCCCUUCCUCUAUAGAAAAGGAGUCCUCUCCUUCGCCCUGCGGACUUGCCUAUGGUUUUGGGGUUAACCUUAGUGAUCAUGAGUGGGAUGCAGAGAAGCGCCCCAACAAUUCUGGGGCUGAGGAGCAAACACGCGCUGGUACCCGCAGAGCCAGCCGGGCGCACUGACUCCUCCAGGACCUUGGCGUUGAGGCUGUCUUUUCAUGGUCCAUUCCUGGGAGAAUGGCCUCACACCUUGCAACCUAGAGAUUUAUUUCAUCUGUUGGAAAAGACACCUCCGGAAAGGCUCUCUUCAACCUCGCUGGAGAAGACUUUAUCAGGAACUUCCAAACAACCCUUAUGCCACCAAACUCCAGAGCAUAGCCUCUUGAAUUCACGUGACACAUCUAAAGAAAGCACCAAACCCUGACUGGACCUGCAUGCCCUCUGGUGAC
Molecule: non-coding RNA, 439 nt
Organism: Leptonychotes weddellii (Weddell seal)
Lineage: Eukaryota; Metazoa; Chordata; Mammalia; Carnivora; Phocidae
Source: RefSeq, a predicted model, not a curated record